Molecule: ribosomal RNA, 525 nt
Filed under: uncultured bacterium
Lineage: Bacteria
Description: partial 16S ribosomal RNA
Rfam family: Bacterial small subunit ribosomal RNA
Source: RNAcentral
UGGGGAAUUUUGGACAAUGGGCGAAAGCCUGAUCCAGCAAUGCCGCGUGUGUGAAGAAGGCCUUCGGGUUGUAAAGCACUUUUGUCCGGAAAGAAAUCCUUGGCUCUAAUACAGUCGGGGGAUGACGGUACCGGAAGAAUAAGCACCGGCUAACUACGUGCCAGCAGCCGCGGUAAUACGUAGGGUGCAAGCGUUAAUCGGAAUUACUGGGCGUAAAGCGUGCGCAGGCGGUUUGCUAAGACCGAUGUGAAAUCCCCGGGCUCAACCUGGGAACUGCAUUGGUGACUGGCAGGCUAGAGUAUGGCAGAGGGGGGUAGAAUUCCACGUGUAGCAGUGAAAUGCGUAGAGAUGUGGAGGAAUACCGAUGGCGAAGGCAGCCCCCUGGGCCAAUACUGACGCUCAUGCACGAAAGCGUGGGGAGCAAACAGGAUUAGAUACCCUGGUAGUCCACGCCCUAAACGAUGUCAACUAGUUGUUGGGGAUUCAUUUCCUUAGUAACGUAGCUAACGCGUGAAGUUGACCGCC